GACGAACGCUGGCGGCGCGCCUAACACAUGCCAGUCGAACGGAGUCAAGAGGAGCUUGCUUUUCUUGACUUAGUGGCGAACGGGUGAGUAACGCGUGAGUAACCUGCCCUGGAGUGGGGGACAACAGUUGGAAACGACUGCUAAUACCGCAUAAGCCCACGGAUCCGCAUGGAUCUGCGGGAAAAGGAUUUAUUCGCUUCAGGAUGGACUCGCGUCCAAUUAGCUAGUUGGUGAGGUAACGGCCCACCAAGGCGACGAUUGGUAGCCGGACUGAGAGGUUGAACGGCCACAUUGGGACUGAGACACGGCCCAGACUCCUACGGGAGGCAGCAGUGGGGGAUAUUGCACAAUGGGGGAAACCCUGAUGCAGCGACGCCGCGUGGAGGAAGAAGGUUUUCGGAUUGUAAACUCCUGUCGUUAGGGACGAUAAUGACGGUACCUAACAAGAAAGCACCGGCUAACUACGUG
Molecule: ribosomal RNA, 468 nt
Filed under: uncultured bacterium
Lineage: Bacteria
Description: partial 16S ribosomal RNA
Rfam family: Bacterial small subunit ribosomal RNA
Source: RNAcentral